Molecule: ribosomal RNA, 441 nt
Filed under: Triticum aestivum (bread wheat)
Lineage: Eukaryota; Viridiplantae; Streptophyta; Magnoliopsida; Poales; Poaceae
Description: partial small subunit ribosomal RNA
Source: RNAcentral
GAAGAUAUGCAAGAGGCAAAGAAAUCUAUGAAAGAAAAAGGUAUUAAAGCUGAAGGUGUUAAGAAUUUACCUCCUAUUGAAGAAAUUCAUGGUCUUGAUAACCUGACACAGGUAGUAAAGGUAAAUUCUCUCUAUAGAUAUGAUAAAGAUAAAAUCCCUCCUACUAAGUUUGCUAGCCAGUGCCUAGAUGAGUUUGAUAACUUUAUGGUUAAGCAAGAAGAUUUUAAUGCUUAUGUUGGUAGACAAUUGAAACAUAAUACUUAUAUGAUUGAACACUUGAGUGAUUAUAUGGCUAAUGUUAAAGGUGAACUAAAACUUAUUAGUAAACAUGCUUCUAUGGUUACCACUCAAGUAGAACAGGUACUUAAAGCUCAGAAUGAUUUGCUCAAUGAAUUAAAUAGUAAGAAGAAUGAUAAUGUUGUUAGAGUUAUGACUAGAGGU